RNAcentral lists this unclassified non-coding RNA (336 nucleotides) under soil metagenome. RNAcentral describes it as "partial contains 5.8S ribosomal RNA, internal transcribed spacer 2, and large subunit ribosomal RNA". The stretch from base 1 to 120 matches the Rfam family "5.8S ribosomal RNA", at positions 35 to 154 of the family's 154-position model. The record is from RNAcentral.
GAUGAAGAACGCAGUGAAAUGCGAUAAGUAAUGUGAAUUGCAGAAUUCAGUGAAUCAUCGAAUCUUUGAACGCACAUUGCGCCCGCCAGUAUUCUGGCGGGCAUGCCUGUUCGAGCGUCAUUUCAACCAUCAAGCCCCAGGCUUGUGUUGGGGACCUGCGGCUGCCGCAGGCCCUGAAAACCAGCGGCGGGCUCGCUGUCACACCGGGCGUAGUAGAUUUUAUCUCGCUCAGGGCGUGCUGCGGGUUCCGGCCGUUAAAAAGCCUUUUUUACCCAAGGUUGACCUCGGAUCAGGUAGGAAGACCCGCUGAACUUAAGCAUAUCAAUAAGCGGAGGA